AUUGAACGCUGGCGGCAGGCCUAACACAUGCAAGUCGAACGGUAACAGGAAGCAGCUUGCUGCUUUGCUGACGAGUGGCGGACGGGUGAGUAAUGUCUGGGAAACUGCCUGAUGGAGGGGGAUAACUACUGGAAACGGUAGCUAAUACCGCAUAACGUCGCAAGACCAAAGAGGGGGACCUUAGGGGCUCUUGCCAUCGGCUGUGCCCAGAUGGGAUUAGCGAGUAGGUGGGGUAACGGCUCACCUAGGCGACGAUCCCUAGCUGGUCUGAGAGGAUGACCAGCCACACUGGAACUGAGACACGGUCCAGACUCCUACGGGAGGCAGCAGUGGGGAAUAUUGCACAAUGGGCGCAAGCCUGAUGCAGCCAUGCCGCGUGUAUGAAGAAGGCCUUCGGGUUGUAAAGUACUUUCAGCGUGGAGGAAGGGAGUAAAGUUAAUACCUUUGCUCAUUGACGUUACCCGCAGAAGAAGCACCGGCUAACUCCGUG
RNAcentral lists this ribosomal RNA (490 nucleotides) under uncultured bacterium. RNAcentral describes it as "partial 16S ribosomal RNA". It matches the Rfam family "Bacterial small subunit ribosomal RNA", at positions 30 to 507 of the family's 1533-position model. The record is from RNAcentral.